Molecule: long non-coding RNA, 335 nt
Organism: Diprion similis
Lineage: Eukaryota; Metazoa; Arthropoda; Insecta; Hymenoptera; Diprionidae
Exons: 3
Source: RefSeq, a predicted model, not a curated record
UAGCGGUGGAGUAAUCAAACGUUGCUGGAGCUUAAUGGUAGGAAUUGGCGUUCAGCGGCUGCGUCUCAGCCUGAUCGGUCGGUCGCUUCCUCUUGAAAAAGCCACACUGGAAAUACACAAAUCAUGGCUCCGAGGGUCCCCGGUUCACCAGAGAUUCAGAGAAGAUGUGAGACGUUACAAUGAAGGAGGAGGCCAAUCGGCUCGAAGGAAGUAAAGAUAUUGAAAACCGUUCACCCGUAAGAAUUUCGUUACCAAAGGAAACCAUCGUCAGCUCUGGGAUGCCGCUCCAGUUCCCCUGGAUUCCUCUGCUGAUUCUUCAUCCUCCUCUUCUUCUU